UUCCUGGUGGGAAUGGUCUCCUAGAAGUGAAUUUCCAUGCAGCUUUCUAAUUUCAGCAGAUAAGUCGUGACCACAACCUGUGGCUAAAGAUGACUAAACGGCACAGCGGGAUGCAUUUUGGCAGAGAAGGAAUGAGACAACAUGAUGGAUCCACUGCACAUCUACUCAUAAGAAGUUUUAUCCUGAGAUGGGACUUCAUUUUGCAAGCAGGUGGAAGAUUUGAUUCUGAUCAACUUGAUGCUGGUGUAAAGGAAGAGCCAUGUCCUGGAACCAAAUGGAAACACCGUGAUACAAAGGACGAUGAGACCAGAAGUGAGCUCUAUUACUGGUAAAAGCAUCUCCCUUCUGAUGUAGCUGUCCUUGAAAGAUUCACAGAAAAUUAUUGACUUUUCAGCUCCACACAUAUUUUGGGGCACAAGGGUAUUGGUAACAGAGAAAAUCAAUAUUCUCUUUUUGAGCUUGUUUCCUCUUCUCUUUUUUUUUUGAGUCCAUAGCAAGGUGGGAAGAACUGCAGGUGACAAUGAAAUUGAGGUUCUUAAAUGCACCAAAAUGACAGAACAGUCUUGUGUGCAAGUAGAAGGGAGCACUUCUCUGUUAAACAAGUUGUCAAAAGCACUGCCUCUUAAUGCAGAACAAUAAAAUAAUCUUUUCAAACAGUUUAAUGGCCAGGAUGAAUGAAAGAAUCUGUGUGUGCUUUACAAAUGGCCUGAUUACUGCCAGCUCACAUGCUUGCUCUGCAGUUGUAGUACAUUAGAAUUUGAAGUAGGAUGUUGUUAGCAACUCUUUGCGUGGGGUGGAAUUUGAAUCAAAAGCUAUAAAUGACCUGUGACAGCAAAAAUGAAAGUGCAAUUGCUUUCUCACAUGACCUGUUUCUUUUAGUGUCAUUAAACUUAAUCAAUGAUUAA
Non-coding RNA from Anas platyrhynchos (mallard), 905 nucleotides. The record is from RefSeq and is a predicted model, not a curated record. NCBI's taxonomy places the organism in Eukaryota, Metazoa, Chordata, Aves, Anseriformes, Anatidae.